This is a long non-coding RNA of Triticum dicoccoides, 3183 nucleotides long. RefSeq lists it as uncharacterized. NCBI's taxonomy places the organism in Eukaryota, Viridiplantae, Streptophyta, Magnoliopsida, Poales, Poaceae. The record is from RefSeq and is a predicted model, not a curated record. The transcript has 6 exons.
UGUCCCGAGCAUAUGCUGCAUCGCCCCUGCCGCUUGGCCUUGCUCAGCACCGGCGCAGCCCACCCCGCCGCCUGACCUCGCCUCGCACCGGAGGCGACCACCACCAUCCUCGCCGCUCCCUCCCCUCCCCUCCCCCAGCCCAAUCUAGAUGUCUAACCUGCCCCCUCCCAUCUCUGAGCAUAGCAUGCUCCGUCGGCGGCGGCGGCAGCGGCGGCUCCUUCUGGCCGGAUUGAGGCGCGGAGACCCAUGCUCCUCUCAUCUGGUUGGAUCGCCUCCUCCGGUAGGAUCUCCUCUCCGAGCUGGAUGUUGAGCACGAUAUCCCUGCUCUAUGGAUCGCCUCCCCUCAUACGGUCACCCCGACGCGGCGACCCUGCAUCCUGAGACCACCAACGCCGCCUCCUUCGACCACGGGAAGGAACCUAGAUGCACGUCAUGGAUGAGGUCGGGGCAACCUCCCCCACAGGCCAGUUUAUAUCAAAUUAAGCUUUCUAUUUUCUUCGAAUCUUUAGUUUUGCAGAUUAGUUUUGUCGAUGACGGCAAGGUGUUUGAUGGAAAUCCAACCUGACUGUACGCUUGCUAUGUAGAUAUUUUAUAUGUCCACAAGGCAUUUGAUGACAAUCCAAACAGGUAUUUGAUUAUUCUCAUAUGACUCUCAAUGUUAUGACUAGAUUAGUUCAUCUAACUAAUCAUGUUCAGGUUUUUUAGGCACUGUAUGUUAUCCCUAACCAAUUGCAGAGGUUGCAGUACAAACAUGUAGGAUACAGAUGCAUUCUAUAGUGUUCUUCAUGAUGGCUGUACUGACGGAUAUGAUUGCCCUUGUCUAAAUACUAAGAUCCAACUUUACAUGCAGUCGUACCCAUGCCAAUUUGUUGGAGCAGAGAUCAUCUGACUUAACUGAGUCUAAGUCAGAGGGAUGUCCAUCCAUGCCGCAUCGGACGACAAUGAAAUCUAGAGAGGCUCUAUGGCUCAGGUCGCCACGAAACCAGUGGCCCAUCCGGCUCCUUGUGACACAAGUGAAGAAACAACAUGCAAGGUGUACAGAAACAGCGUGGGAUCGACCAGAACGAUACCGCCUGGGCCGGAUGGUACGCGUUGCUCUGCUCGUGACCUCAUAAGAAGCAACUGAGAUGGAAUUAUGGAAGAAGAGGCUAACACCACACACAUCCAGAUUCCAAUGUACAAGUAGCAACUGCAAUUCCUAUUCAGUCGUAACAAUAAUAUUUAGUGAUCUCAAUUUUCAUGCCAUGCUGAAUUAAAUUCAGCUAACAUCAGCGAUUUAGUUGGACGCUUCCUGCACUUUCAACUUUAUAAAAUGAUUGUUUGCGAUCAGCAACUCAUUAGACGGCGGUGGCAGUGGCGUGAUUGGCCCACUUGAACACAAACCACAGGACGUCAACAACACAGGGCCUAUGGAACCUUGUCCUCUGGUCCAACCAUUGCUUCUCCUCGUGACACCUGUGGUCUACGGUGACAGGGCCUUGGCUGGCGGCUAAUGCCACGAGGCCUCGGAGCCGGACUUGUGCUCCUCCUCUUGGGAAGUCGUCGCCAGUGCGGUGGCCCUGAAGCCGGUUGGACGCGUCUUGUGUGCGCUAGGGCAGUGGCAUCGCAGAGGAUGAAACCAACACUGGUUGAGAGCGGCCUCGAUGGUGUGGUGUAGCUGACCACGACCGUGGGGAUGGGCGUGCCGGACGCGUGAAUGGAAACGGUGAGUCCAUGCCGGACCCUCCUUUGGUGAGCGAACAACGACGACAAGUGUAGGGGAACUCAAGAAAGGAGGGUUUUUUCAGAGCUGGAGCGCCACUUUCCCUCUCCCUUCCAUUGGACUGGGUUGCAUCAUGCUUUUGGGCCGAUCCUGCUCUGUGUUUCCACGGGCUCCACCUGCUGUCGUGGAUGCGCAAAGAAUGGGAUACACACAUCCAACAAAUUUCGCUAGGCGCUUGGUACUACAACUUCUACAUGUCGACGACUUUGGACAAUAAAGCGACGAUGCUCUACCUGGGCGUGGUCUAACUCUACCUCGGCCAGGUGUGGUGCCACGAGGAAGCACCCAAGGUACAUGUGUGUGUGUGCGCGCGCGCAAAUAUAGAUUAACUACAGAUAAGUACUUCGGUCCCAUCAGUCGCCACCAAGUAAAUCAGCAGCAGCCAGUAGUAGAAGAAUUCGGUUUGACAUUUGAUUUAUGCUGGGUAAUUUGAGGUGUGCCUGUUGGUUAUGCCAUUUAUCUUUUUUCUGUCAAGCAAUUGUUUUCUAUUGCUGUGAUAGGCCUGAAUCAGUUUUUGUUUUUUGUAUACACCGAGAUGAAGCUGAAAGUUAUGACGAUCAGAUCAAACACCAAAAGUUGUAACUCGGAUAUACCAUGAUAUUUUGAAUGGUGUGCUACCUUAAUAGCUUUCAGUGGUAUGUUGUCUGUUCAAUUCCGAAAAUAAGAUUUGUGGUAGGUUGACCUGUUGACAGCUUUCAAUGCUACUGUAUGUUGUUUGUUCAACUCCGGUCACCGAAGCUGAAUUUCCAUACAAAACCAAGAUUUGUUCUAGGUAAUUAUUUAGGCACCAAGCAACAAGUCCAUGGAUUUAAAAUAUGCACACAACGACAAACAUUUGUGUGGAUUUUCUGUAGGUGUCUCUGUUGACCUGCAUGUUUGCCUGAUGAGUGAAACAUAAGUGAUUCCAGUUCUACAUAUAUGUAACAUGCUAUUUUUGUUGGCUUAUAUUAAAAUGGGAACCGGGUAAGUUUCUGCAAAUGUAUUCUUUUGGUUGUUUUGUGUCAUUUGUAUCCCGGUCAACAACUUGAGAGAUUUACUUUGAGUAAAUUCAUGGUCUGAACUGGCUGUAGUAUUCAUUGAUCAAAUAAUUGUCGUCUAACGAGUGUUAUUGAUAAAGGAGGAGCUUGAGAAAAUGAAGGUAACUAUGAAGCUUCCUCUAUACAUGAUGAAGUGGGCGAAUGCGAAAUACAACAGGAGUUAGAGAAAGGCACACCUUGCACUUAUCGUUUCCUGAGUGCCAAAGAAAGGCUCACUGAAAGUAUCAAAUUUAUUUAAUGCGAGGUAGUGACAAGCUUUAGAGUUCAACCUUUUAGUGGAGUGCUUUUAUGCAUAUAAUCUUAAUAUAAUUCAUAAUUGUAAAUAAUGGGAAGCAAACAGUGGUACAUACAUUGUAUGCAUUGUGAAAGAAAAUAUUUUUAUAA